UGGAGACGUCGUUCUGUUUCUUUCUGAAAUUCCCUUCUGCUGCAGUUGAUGCCACUCGACCUCUGAACAGAAGAAUGGCCGCUCCUCGCAAGCAUAUCUUUAUUCAGCUUGUGGUAAGUUACGGAACUCUCACCUGUUACGCAUCUUGAGGCCUACCGACAACAUUAUUGUCUGCAUCUUGAGUUUGUUUGGUGUGUUAACUAAGAGAUGCGUAUAUGGCACGCCAAUCGUACCGGAGCGAUUCAUCGGAAGUAUGGUUCACGCCCGAGGUGAGUAACUCUUCUCUUCUGAUUCACAGGCAGGCACGCAAGUUGAAGCACGCUUCCGUGCUUCAUGGAAACUCUCCAAGCACUAACGCGAUGGGUGUUCCUUGCGAGAAGCGCUUAAGCAUGCAGUAAGAGAAGACAACUCGUGUUCACCGGCAUCGAGCAGUAUGUUUGUGAUUUGUGUUACGAGGCGUGGUGGCUCCAGCUGGUACAUCCGGCAUUAACGCAGUCAUCGGCCACUGGAUAGAUGGGUUUUACCGAAAAAUGGCGGAUUAUGUUCUCCUUUUACUCGUUUCGUCUACAUUCAGUCGGGCAUGGCAAUCGCAGGAGUAGUCGUCUGUCGCCGUUUGGCGCCAGAGAAGCAUUUUUUUCCCAAGCACGGCCUCUCCCUAGGGGCUAAUAUCAAGGCCGAAAAUAUAGCCUAAGCAAUGACUACGCAUUUCACUCUGGCCUGAUUUUUCUCUUUGUUGUCAUGGGUAACAGCUUCUGCGUGCUGGUCACGCGUAUUACCCGUCUCUUUCACGUUGACGAAGUCGGACAAGCGCCGACGCAUCGUCAGACACGAUAGCGAGCAUACAACUCAGACAAUAAGGCACCUGAAGCGAACCGUUGAGUACAUCGCGCGAACGUAAGACAGACAGUAGAAGUAUCUUUUCUGACUGGUGACGAUAGAGGCAAAACAAUUGGCUGUGUUCUACACUUGUAAGCCACAGUUCUGGGAACCACCCUUGAGAGUAGCGUCGCUAGUGCCCGGGGGCUUCUUGAACCCUGGCGAUCCGUCAGCAGCUGCGGCGGUA
RNAcentral lists this long non-coding RNA (1063 nucleotides) under Toxoplasma gondii VEG. Lineage: Eukaryota; Apicomplexa; Conoidasida; Eucoccidiorida; Sarcocystidae. The record is from RNAcentral.